AAUGGGUCAGCGACUUAUAUUCUGUAGCAAGGUUAACCGAAUAGGGGAGCCGAAGGGAAACCGAGUCUUAACUGGGCGUUAAGUUGCAGGGUAUAGACCCGAAACCCGGUGAUCUAGCCAUGGGCAGGUUGAAGGUUGGGUAACACUAACUGGAGGACCGAACCGACUAAUGUUGAAAAAUUAGCGGAUGACUUGUGGCUGGGGGUGAAAGGCCAAUCAAACCGGGAGAUAGCUGGUUCUCCCCGAAAGCUAUUUAGGUAGCGCCUCGUGAAUUCAUCUCCGGGGGUAGAGCACUGUUUCGGCAAGGGGGUCAUCCCGACUUACCAACCCGAUGCAAACUGCGAAUACCGGAGAAUGUUAUCACGGGAGACACACGGCGGGUGCUAACGUCCGUCGUGAAGAGGGAAACAACCCAGACCGCCAGCUAAGGUCCCAAAGUCAUGGUUAAGUGGGAAACGAUGUGGGAAGGCCCAGACAGCCAGGAUGUUGGCUUAGAAGCAGCCAUCAUUUAAAGAAAGCGUAAUAGCUCACUGGUCGAGUCGGCCUGCGCGGAAGAUGUAACGGGGCUAAACCAUGCACCGAAGCUGCGGCAGCGACGCUGAUGCGUUGUUGGGUAGGGGAGCGUUCUGUAAGCCUGUGAAGGUGUGCUGUGAGGCAUGCUGGAGGUAUCAGAAGUGCGAAUGCUGACAUAAGUAACGAUAAAGCGGGUGAAAAGCCCGCUCGCCGGAAGACCAAGGGUUCCUGUCCAACGUUAAUCGGGGCAGGGUGAGUCGACCCCUAAGGCGAGGCCGAAAGGCGUAGUCGAUGGGAAACAGGUUAAUAUUCCUGUACUUGGUGUUACUGCGAAGGGGGGACGGAGAAGGCUAUGUUGGCCGGGCGACGGUUGUCCCGGUUUAAGCGUGUAGGCUGGUUUUCCAGGCAAAUCCGGAAAAUCAAGGCUGAGGCGUGAUGACGAGGCACUACGGUGCUGAAGCAACAAAUGCCCUGCUUCCAGGAAAAGCCUCUAAGCAUCAGGUAACAUCAAAUCGUACCCCAAACCGACACAGGUGGUCAGGUAGAGAAUACCAAGGCGCUUGAGAGAACUCGGGUGAAGGAACUAGGCAAAAUGGUGCCGUAACUUCGGGAGAAGGCACGCUGAUAUGUAGGUGAAGUCCCUCGCGGAUGGAGCUGAAAUCAGUCGAAGAUACCAGCUGGCUGCAACUGUUUAUUAAAAACACAGCACUGUGCAAACACGAAAGUGGACGUAUACGGUGUGACGCCUGCCCGGUGCCGGAAGGUUAAUUGAUGGGGUCAGCGCAAGCGAAGCUCUUGAUCGAAGCCCCGGUAAACGGCGGCCGUAACUAUAACGGUCCUAAGGUAGCGAAAUUCCUUGUCGGGUAAGUUCCGACCUGCACGAAUGGCGUAAUGAUGGCCAGGCUGUCUCCACCCGAGACUCAGUGAAAUUGAACUCGCUGUGAAGAUGCAGUGUACCCGCGGCAAGACGGAAAGACCCCGUGAACCUUUACUAUAGCUUGACACUGAACAUUGAGCCUUGAUGUGUAGGAUAGGUGGGAGGCUUAGAAGUGUGGACGCCAGUCUGCAUGGAGCCGACCUUGAAAUACCACCCUUUAAUGUUUGAUGUUCUAACGUUGACCCGUAAUCCGGGUUGCGGACAGUGUCUGGUGGGUAGUUUGACUGGGGCGGUCUCCUCCUAAAGAGUAACGGAGGAGCACGAAGGUUGGCUAAUCCUGGUCGGACAUCAGGAGGUUAGUGCAAUGGCAUAAGCCAGCUUGACUGCGAGCGUGACGGCGCGAGCAGGUGCGAAAGCAGGUCAUAGUGAUCCGGUGGUUCUGAAUGGAAGGGCCAUCGCUCAACGGAUAAAAGGUACUCCGGGGAUAACAGGCUGAUACCGCCCAAGAGUUCAUAUCGACGGCGGUGUUUGGCACCUCGAUGUCGGCUCAUCACAUCCUGGGGCUGAAGUAGGUCCCAAGGGUAUGGCUGUUCGCCAUUUAAAGUGGUACGCGAGCUGGGUUUAGAACGUCGUGAGACAGUUCGGUCCCUAUCUGCCGUGGGCGCUGGAGAACUGAGGGGGGCUGCUCCUAGUACGAGAGGACCGGAGUGGACGCAUCACUGGUGUUCGGGUUGUCAUGCCAAUGGCACUGCCCGGUAGCUAAAUGCGGAAGAGAUAAGUGCUGAAAGCAUCUAAGCACGAAACUUGCCCCGAGAUGAGUUCUCCCUGACUCCUUGAGAGUCCUGAAGGAACGUUGAAGACGACGACGUUGAUAGGCCGGGUGUGUAAGCGCAGCGAUGCGUUGAGCUAACCGGUACUAAU
This 2311-nucleotide ribosomal RNA is filed under the name Escherichia coli. Its description in RNAcentral is "partial 23S ribosomal RNA". It matches the Rfam family "Bacterial large subunit ribosomal RNA", at positions 614 to 2905 of the family's 2925-position model. The record is from RNAcentral. Lineage: Bacteria; Pseudomonadati; Pseudomonadota; Gammaproteobacteria; Enterobacterales; Enterobacteriaceae.